GUCCUCGUAGCUCAGUUGGAUAGAGCGCCGGAUUCCUAAUCCCGAGGCCGUGGGUUCAAUUCCCACCGAGGACACCA
RNAcentral lists this transfer RNA (77 nucleotides) under Candidatus Margulisiibacteriota bacterium. RNAcentral describes it as "tRNA-Arg". It matches the Rfam family "tRNA". Rfam says of the family: Transfer RNA (tRNA) molecules are approximately 80 nucleotides in length. Their secondary structure includes four short double-helical elements and three loops (D, anti-codon, and T loops). Further hydrogen bonds mediate the characteristic L-shaped molecular structure. tRNAs have two regions of fundamental functional importance: the anti-codon, which is responsible for specific mRNA codon recognition, and the 3' end, to which the tRNAs corresponding amino acid is attached (by aminoacyl-tRNA synthetases). tRNAs cope with the degeneracy of the genetic code in two manners: having more than one tRNA (with a specific anti-codon) for a particular amino acid; and 'wobble' base-pairing, i.e. permitting non-standard base-pairing at the 3rd anti-codon position. Lineage: Bacteria; Bacillati; Candidatus Margulisiibacteriota. The record is from RNAcentral.